CUCCAUCUCAUGAGCUUUUAACAUACCCACAACUUCGUGAAAGCUGAAUUUAUCUAUGUCAAGAGACACAAACAUUUAUGCCUUAUAAGCUGUAAAUCUUUCUGGCAGACACCUUAAAACUUCUUCACCAAUUUCUUAUCCUUGUAGUCCACGCCCAGAACACGAGCCUCUUGUGCUAACGCACUGAGUUGAGAACUAAAAUCUGAUAAAGAUUCAUGUUCUUCCAUCUUCAAGUUCUCAAAUUUUGAUUUGAAAAAAUUCAUCCUUGAACUCUUAACCUUCUCAGUUCCUUCAAAGUGUAAUUGCACAAUAUCCCACGCCUCUUUUGCAUUCUUGCAUCCUUGAAUCAGAUCGACUUGCUUCUUUUUGACUGAUGUAAAAAUACCACAUAAAGCUUUUGCAUUAUACCUUGACAUCUCCUU
RNAcentral lists this long non-coding RNA (422 nucleotides) under Brassica napus (rape). RNAcentral's name for it is "long non-coding RNA (BNAP_LNC012226)". Lineage: Eukaryota; Viridiplantae; Streptophyta; Magnoliopsida; Brassicales; Brassicaceae. The record is from RNAcentral.